UACAGAGGGUGCGAGCGUUAAUCGGAAUUACUGGGCGUAAAGCGUGCGUAGACGGUUGUCUAAGUCGGAUGUGAAAUCCCCGGGCUCAACCUGGGAAUGGCAUUCGAGACUGAAUAGCUAGGGUGCGGAAGAGGGAAGCGGAAUUUCCGGUGUAGCGGUGAAAUGCGUAGAUAUCGGAAGGAACAUCAGUGGCGAAGGCGGCUUCCUGGUCCAGCACCGACGUUCAGGCACGAAAGCGUGGGGAGCAAACAGGAUUAGAUACCCUGGUAGUCCACGCCUUAAAUGAUGAGGACUAGACGUUGGAAGGGUUAGCCUUUCAGUGUCGUAGCUAAUGCGAUAAGUCCUCCGCCUGGGGAGUACGGCCGCAAGGUUG
This 373-nucleotide ribosomal RNA is filed under the name uncultured prokaryote. Its description in RNAcentral is "bacterial SSU rRNA". It matches the Rfam family "Bacterial small subunit ribosomal RNA", at positions 524 to 896 of the family's 1533-position model. The record is from RNAcentral.